This is a long non-coding RNA of Panonychus citri (citrus red mite), 2860 nucleotides long. RefSeq lists it as uncharacterized. Lineage: Eukaryota; Metazoa; Arthropoda; Arachnida; Trombidiformes; Tetranychidae. The transcript has 5 exons. The record is from RefSeq and is a predicted model, not a curated record.
UAAUAAUUGAUAAUUGUUCUUACUUGAUUUCUCAUUAAUUUUAAUUAUUCUUUUAAUUUCUAAUUGAUUUUGAUUAUUUCUUAUUCUCCAAUAUUUUAGCUAAUUUAUUUCUCUGUUUCUUGUUCUUGGUCUUUGUUUUUGUCUUUGUCUCUUUGGUUCUGUGUUUUUAUCACCUUUCUUAACGGCUAAACAACCAACAAUACAUGGAGAUAUUACUGUACUUUUGUAUAGAAUAUUAUUCCUGAAUAAUUACCAAUUCAAAUCAAAGAAAUUACGAAAUGGAUGGAGUAUAAAAAAAAGUGUCUACCCUAAUAUCAAGUGGAAUAACAAGUGAUGGAAAAAAAGAAGGAGAUGGUGAUAAACAAAUGGAAUACAAGUAGAUAAAACAAAAAGAAAGGAUGGAGAUAAUAGACAUUUCCAAAUGACAAGUAUUCAACAAACGAUUUGGUAAACAGAGGAUAGAAAGAGAGGGAGAUAAGAUCACGGACAGAAGAGAGAGAGAGAGAGAGAGAGAGAGAGAUGAUGAAACAAUAUCAACAUCAAUAUAAAAAGUGUUCGUCUCCAUUGAAGCAAACUUGUUGCUGAUUUUACCUGGAAAAUGAUAAAGAAUCAUCACAAUGAGAAGGAGAAGAAGCAAAAAAGAUGAGUAAGAGAGAUGGAGGGAGAGAGAGAGAGAAAUAAAAAACGGACACACUGAUAUAAAGAAAAGGAGCGCCAAGAGGGAGUGAAGCAAAUAACAACAUCAACACAUCUCAAGUAGACAAGCAGAAUAAUAAUAGUAAACAACAACAACAACAACAAAAAAGACUCUAAAAAGAAAGAUUCUCCCUUUUUCUAUCUCUCUAUCGAACUGAAUUUUGGUUAACAAACUGUAUACAUAAGUACAGUUCUACAUCGGGAAUGUAGUGCAUAAAAUUAGAUCAUUAAGAAGAUGCCAAAAUAGAUGGAAAAAGAUGAUUGUUGGUCUUUUUUUGGUCUUGGAUGCGUUGAUAACGAUGACGACGUUCUGAGCGAACUCGUUAUGCUAAAAAGAUUUACUUUUUCAUGCAAUUCUGAAAACUCUUUCUUAUCAUUAUCUCAACUUGAACUAUCCGUUUCGUUCCGUUCUGAUCAUUUUUCAAGUUCCGUUUACGUUUCUUUCAAGUUUUACUUUUUUUUCAAAGUCGAAAUUAACUUCCAAGUUCAUUUUGUUUAUAUUUACUUAAAAUACCAGAAAAGCAAAACUUGAUGUAAAUAUAGUUCUCGAGUUGCUUGAUAAUCAUUUGCAUCCUUAUAUUAAGCGAAAAGUAUCCAAUUUAUUAACUGAAUUAACUUUAAUUGGUGACAAUUUAUUUCAAUUUUCUUCUCAUCAAAAGAGAGACACGAAAAAAAACUACCAACUAUCAUUUACUUGAACAAGUUAAUUGCUAGAAACAAGAUGAUGAUGAAGAUAAUUCUCCAGCUGAUGAUAAAAGACGAUGAUGAUGAUGAUCUAACGAUAUAAACAAACAAUUGGUUUAGUAGUUUAUGAUUGGAAACUGAUGAAAGGCGUUGUUGGUGACUUGUUAUUUCAACCAUGAUUCCCUGAUUUUUUUUUCCAAUUUCAUUCAUUCAUCAUGAGAUAGCCUUUAAUGACGAUCGGGAUGAUAAGUGGAGAGAAGAGAAAGAGAAAAAAGAAAGAUAGAAUUGGAAGAAAACGGAUGACAUGGACGAAAUGAGGUCAUUAAAUCAUUGAGAUGAUAGGCCAGAUACAGGAUAAGAUGAAAUGAAUAUGAUGAUGAUAAUGGUGAGUGAGAUGAAAAGAAAAGGAGUAAGAAAGAAGAUGAUGACAAUCAGCUGAACUUGAUUCUUAAAACCCUGACCUUGAUUAUCGUUAAGGAAAAACGGUAAUCUUCCAAUUUUCUUCUUCUUCUUUAUUCGUAUUAUUAUCAUUUCACAUUAUUCUCACUAAAAUCUCACCCUCUUUUGUCUUCUUCUUCUUCUUCAUCAUCUUCUUUCUUUCUCAUCUUCAUGAUGAAUGGAAGAAAAGAAGGAGUGAGAAUAACGUGUUUUUACUUUUAAAAUUUUUUCUCUCAAAAACGAUCUCUUAACCUACUUUACGUGCCAAUUGUAUCUCAACCACUUCGAAAACAAUCACAAACCUCGAAGAGACAAUUUCCAAAUCCAGACAAUCUACUAACGGAUUAACCGUUAAUCUUUGCUCAUCAUCAUCAUCGUCAUAAUCAUUAUCAUCCAAGAUGAUCUUCUCAAACCAUUUAACUUUCAUGUUACUUUCGUCGUCAACGAUUUAUUAAUCUAUUGGUACAUUAACCAAACUACUAACUCGUUAGCACUUUUAGUAACCGUGUCUGUCACACGUCAACUGAUUAAAAACAACAACAAUUUGCGAGCAACAAUUAAAAUCCGUCAACAGUGAAUCUUUUUUACUUUUAACAAUCAAUUCUAAUUCUAAUCAUUUAUAUAUAUAUUUUCUUUUUAAUUCAUCUAACAAUUAACUCUCCUAAUAACCGUUUCUACAAUCAAAUUGCCAUUUCAAGUUUACUUGAUUCUACUAUUAAUCUAAUAUAUACACAAUUAAUAUUCAAAGAGGAAAAAAAAAUUGCUAGUUAAUGAUUAAAGUUGACAAUUAACUUAAUCAUUUCCAAUCAUCAUCAUCAUCAACAUGACGAUGAUACAUUUAAAUGAUAAACAAAAGGCUUUAAAAUUGAAUAAAUAUUUGAAUUGAGUUAAUUAUUGUUGAUUGUUGAACCAUCGAUUAUUAGUUUAAUCUAAAUAUGUAUCAUCAACUAAUUACAAUUAAUUUCUUACUUGAAAUCAAAAAUUUUGCAAUUGAUUUGAAAUUAAAUUGUGAUUCUAUUUACAAACCAAUUUAAUUUAACAU